RNAcentral lists this transfer RNA (86 nucleotides) under Fidelibacterota bacterium. RNAcentral's name for it is "tRNA-OTHER". The record is from RNAcentral. Lineage: Bacteria; Pseudomonadati; Fidelibacterota.
GUAUUGGACUGAUUAUCAGCUACUUACAGAAACAGAAAAGGGGACUGAAAAUCCCCGUGUCGGCGGUUCAAUUCCGUCCCUGGCCA